UCCCUGGUAGUAUAUCGGUCAGUACACGCGCCUGUCAUACAUAUGCGGUUGACAAAAUCUAACUUUGCACGGGAAAGCUGGGUUCAAUUCCCAGCCAGGGAA
Paramarasmius palmivorus is the source of this 102-nucleotide non-coding RNA. The record is from the annotation of a GenBank genome assembly. NCBI's taxonomy places the organism in Eukaryota, Fungi, Basidiomycota, Agaricomycetes, Agaricales, Marasmiaceae.